Molecule: ribosomal RNA, 476 nt
Filed under: uncultured bacterium
Lineage: Bacteria
Description: bacterial SSU rRNA
Rfam family: Bacterial small subunit ribosomal RNA
Source: RNAcentral
ACUCCUACGGGAGGCAGCAGUGGGGAAUAUUGGACAAUGGGCGAAAGCCUGAUCCAGCCAUGCCGGCGUGUGUGAAGAAGGUCUUCGGAUUGUAAAGCACUUUAAGUUGGGAGGAAGGGUUGUAGAUUAAUACUCUGCCAAUUUUGACGUUACCGACAGAAUAAGCACCGGCUAAACUCUGUGCCAGCAGCCGCGGUAAUACAGAGGGUGCAAGCGUUAAUCGGAAUUACUGGGCGUAAAGCGCGCGUAGGUGGUUUGUUAAGUUGGAUGUGAAAUCCCCGGGGCUCAACCUGGGAACUGCAUCCAAAACUGGCAAGCUAGAGUAUGGUAGAGGGUGGUGGAAUUUCCUGUGUAGCGGUGAAAUGCGUAGAUAUAGGAAGGAACACCAGUGGCGAAGGCGACCACCUGGACUGAUACUGACACUGACGGUGCGAAAGCGUGGGGAGCAAACAGGAUUAGAUACCGCGUAGGUAGUA